This 64-nucleotide transfer RNA is filed under the name Cavia porcellus (domestic guinea pig). It matches the Rfam family "tRNA", at positions 1 to 62 of the family's 71-position model. Rfam says of the family: Transfer RNA (tRNA) molecules are approximately 80 nucleotides in length. The record is from Rfam by way of RNAcentral. Lineage: Eukaryota; Metazoa; Chordata; Mammalia; Rodentia; Caviidae.
GGGGGUUUAGCUCAGCGGCAUAAGCGCCUGCCUUGAAAGCAGGCAGUUGUGAGUUCAAUCCCUG